AGUACUUACAAAAGCCGACUUCGGACUGAAAAUCCGUGUGUCGGUGGUUCAAAUCCACUCCUGCCCA
RNAcentral lists this transfer RNA (67 nucleotides) under Planctomycetota bacterium. RNAcentral describes it as "Planctomycetes bacterium (marine sediment metagenome) tRNA-Phe". Lineage: Bacteria; Pseudomonadati; Planctomycetota. The record is from RNAcentral. RNAcentral also lists the same sequence under 2 other names.